RNAcentral lists this long non-coding RNA (253 nucleotides) under Elaeis guineensis (African oil palm). RNAcentral describes it as "long non-coding RNA (EGUI_LNC031670)". Lineage: Eukaryota; Viridiplantae; Streptophyta; Magnoliopsida; Arecales; Arecaceae. The record is from RNAcentral.
CAAGUUUGUCUCUUCCACUCAGUAGUUAGCUGAUAUUUUCACCAAAGUCUUGGGCAAAGAUGCAUUCCAUUUCAAUAUUAGUAAGUUGGGCAUUAUAAACCUCCAAAUGCCAACUUGAAGGGGAGUGAUGGAAAUCAUACCUUGAUUCUCUCAGCAUUAGAUUAGGCAGAUAUGGAUAUCUAUGAUGAAGAUCAUACCUUAGUUCUCUAGAUAUCAUAUUAGAUAGAUACAAAUAGCUAUAUAAUCCCAGGUG